GACGAACGCUGGCGGCGUGCUUAACACAUGCAAGUCGAACGGAAAGGCCCUGCUUUUGUGGGGUGCUCGAGUGGCGAACGGGUGAGUAACACGUGAGUAACCUGCCCUUGACUUUGGGAUAACUUCAGGAAACUGGGGCUAAUACCGGAUAGGAGCUCCUGCUGCAUGGUGGGGGUUGGAAAGUUUCGGCGGUUGGGGAUGGACUCGCGGCUUAUUAGCUUGUUGGUGGGGUAGUGGCUUACCAAGGCUUUGACGGGUAGCCGGCCUGAGAGGGUGACCGGCCACAUUGGGACUGAGAUACGGCCCAGACUCCUACGGGAGGCAGCAGUGGGGAAUAUUGCACAAUGGGCGGAAGCCUGAUGCAGCAACGCCGCGUGCGGGAUGACGGCCUUCGGGUUGUAAACCGCUUUCGCCUGUGGCGAAGCGUGAGUGACGGUAAUGGGUAAAGAAGCACCGGCUAACUACGUG
RNAcentral lists this ribosomal RNA (468 nucleotides) under uncultured bacterium. RNAcentral's name for it is "partial 16S ribosomal RNA". It matches the Rfam family "Bacterial small subunit ribosomal RNA", at positions 28 to 507 of the family's 1533-position model. The record is from RNAcentral.